Molecule: non-coding RNA, 1834 nt
Organism: Callithrix jacchus (white-tufted-ear marmoset)
Lineage: Eukaryota; Metazoa; Chordata; Mammalia; Primates; Cebidae
Source: RefSeq, a predicted model, not a curated record
UCAAAAAAAAAAAAAAAAAAAAAGAGGUCGAGACCAUCCUGGUCAACAAGGUGAAACCCCAUCUCUACUAAAAAUACAAAACUUAGCUGGGCAUGGGGUGCAAGCCUGUAGUCCCAGCUACUUGGGAGGCUGAGGCAGGAGAAUUGCUUGAACCCAGGAGGCGGAGGUUGCGGUGAGCCGAGAUCGUGCCAUUGCACUCCAGUCUGGGUAAUGAGAGCGAAACUCUGUCUCAAAAAAAAAAAAAAUUUAGAAGCCACCGACAUGGUGCUUUCAGUACAUUUAACCCUCUGACAUGGGCACUGUCAGCCUUGCUUUUGAGGCACACGUCCCUCAGUUGGUGAGUGUGGGACCCAGACCUCGUGUCACCUCUGGAGUCCGGGCCUGGAACCCCAGCCCGCUGCUGCUACAUGGUGUGAUCUCGCAUCUAUUGCCAUCAGGGCUUGAAAGUGGACUGUUUUUCUUUAUACUGGGAAUUGCCCAUUAGAAGAUGGGAAAAAUGUUCCCAGUUUAACAGUGACAAAAAUGCUAAGAUAUUUAGGAAUGCAGCUACUGAGAAAGAGCAGGACUUGUGGAGGACACGAGAAGCGGAACUGAGAGGACACUUGUGGUGUGAGGUUAGGAGACCAGGCCCUCGUGGGCCCGGGGAGCUCCUGGAGAGGUCCCGUGAGUGCUUGUGGAGCUGGAGGCAGUGAAUUUAAGAUCCACUGCACGCAGGAUGGCACUGUUGCUGAGAGAACGGAGGAAGAUGCAGAGUUGGGAGGAGAGUUGCCGCUCUGGUUUUAACACCCUGAUGUGGCUGAGGUCCGGUGUGGUCCGGUCCGGAUAACUGAAGUGUGGGUGGAACAGGAUGGGGUGUGCAGAGUGGAGUGCACCGCGGCCCUCGCAGGGGCCGGCUUAUCCAUGGGUAAGAGAUGGAGGGACCAUGCAUGGCGGCCAUGGAGUCUUGGGCUUGAGGAACAGUUUGCCCACGUCGUCCCCGCCUGUGCCCUGCUGGCGGUGGAAGUUGUGGUGCUAACAGUGGGCUGUGCUUCCAGAAUGUGUCCUGUAUGGGCAGAAAUCACAGAAAACCCUGGAAUUGGAAUAGUGUAAAUGCUUGGCCCACCCCUUCUGGGAAUAGUCCAGAAAACUCUCAAUACUCUUACAUUUUUAUUUAACAAAAAGCUCCUCUCCCUGCUCGUGGUGUGUGGCAGGAGAAGCCCUGGCUGUGGUGCCCUUCUCCUUGGCCAGGGAGGUGGAGAGAGCGACAGCCUUCCCCUCUGUGUUGGGGUGAACCACGGCUUGUGGGGAGAGAGAUCCACCGGUCCCCACACACGGUCUGUGCUGUGUGGCAUGUGUGGCCUGUUUCUGUUUGUGUGUGUAUAGUGUUUAGUCUUUGUCCCUAGAAUAGAAGAGAAUGACUGUUAAAUGGGUGAAGCAUAACUUUAAAAAAAACACAUCAGGAAAGGCGUGCUUGGCCGAAAACAGAUCUGAUUCCCAGCAGCCCUCGAGUCAUCCUAACUUGCCCUGCUUACACUUUUUUUGUUCUCUUUGCUUUGAAGUCGCAUCUGGGACAACGCCUCUGGCCAGUGCCUGAAGACACUCAUCGAUGAUGACAACCCCCCAGUGUCUUUUGUGAAGUUCUCCCCCGAACGGCAAAUACAUCCUGGCGGCCACGCUGGACAACACUCUGAAGCUCUGGGACUACAGCAAGGGGAAGUGAGCUCCCACCAGCUUGGGCCCAAGUUGGGCACUGUCCCUGGGUCAUAGCCCCUGGCGAGGACAGAGCUGGCCCUGGUGAUGACGAAGGAGGGGGAGCUCAGAGAGCCAUCGCCACUGGGUUUGGUGCUGAUUCCUG